CGUAACCUCCUCGCACUUCUGUUUUAUUUGCGGGAGGUUUUGGUCAUUUUGAUACUCACUUUGUGUGAUUAGCUGCUCUCAGUUGUUUUCUUUUCAGUUUUAUUAAUACAUAGCCACUGGCUCUACCGUUUAUCCAAAAAAAUAAAAAAUAAAACAAAAAGGAAAACAUAGUCUCAGAGUUUAAAAUCUAUUGAACAGAACUUUGGGCUUUGCCCUCCCCCACGGAUCGCCACACACACUGUCACGCUCCGAACCCAACACCCN
RNAcentral lists this long non-coding RNA (264 nucleotides) under Elaeis guineensis (African oil palm). RNAcentral's name for it is "long non-coding RNA (EGUI_LNC020556)". The record is from RNAcentral. Lineage: Eukaryota; Viridiplantae; Streptophyta; Magnoliopsida; Arecales; Arecaceae.